Molecule: long non-coding RNA, 324 nt
Filed under: Anas platyrhynchos platyrhynchos (common mallard)
Lineage: Eukaryota; Metazoa; Chordata; Aves; Anseriformes; Anatidae
Description: lncRNA (ENSAPLG00000018130.1)
Source: RNAcentral
AUGAGUGAAUGUGCUUUCCCUGUCCAUGGAGAUGCCAGGCACCUCAGAACGGGCUACAUCAUGAGGAGUGAACCAGUGAAGCAGCUCCACUUCAACCUGCCCUGCCGCAUAGAGGCGCUUGUGAGAGAGUUAAUGCCUGAGCACCAAUACCCUUGGGCUGCUGCUGCUGCCUGUGUCCUCCUGCACAUGCCCCGGGCUCCUGCUGCUGCUUGCCCCUGCUGGGGCUUUUCUACCGUGGCCUUCCUUCUCCUGAAGACUUCCCGUGACGUCUCAGGCCUGCUCCGAGUUGCUCCUUGCAUCUCCUCAGCACAUGUGCAGAGCUGA